RNAcentral lists this ribosomal RNA (476 nucleotides) under uncultured bacterium. RNAcentral's name for it is "partial small subunit ribosomal RNA". It matches the Rfam family "Bacterial small subunit ribosomal RNA", at positions 26 to 518 of the family's 1533-position model. The record is from RNAcentral.
AGGACAAACGCUGGCGGGGUGCAUGAGACAUGCAAGUCGAACGAGGUGCCAUCGGGCUUGCUCGAUGGUUACCUAGUGGCGGACGGCUGAGUAACGCGUAGGUGACCUACCCGGAAGUGGGGAAUAACUGCCCGAAAGGGUGGCUAAUACCGCAUGUGGUGGUGUGUUCAAUCACACCAGUAAAGCCGCAAGGCGCUUCGGGAGGGGCCUGCGUCCGAUUAGCUCGUUGGUGGGGUAACGGCUCACCAAGGCGACGAUCGGUAGGUGGUCUGAGAGGACGAUCACCCAGACUGGGACUGAGACACGGCCCAGACUCCUACGGGAGGCAGCAGUCGGGAAUUUUGCGCAAUGGACGAAAGUCUGACGCAGCAACGCCGCGUGAGGGAUGACGGCCUUCGGGUUGUAAACCUCUUUCUCAGGGAAGAUAAUGACGGUACCUGAGGAGAAGCCACGGCUAACUACGUGCCAGCAGCCGC